ACCUCUAGCAUUACUAGUAUUAGAGGCACUGCCUGCCCAGUGACAUAUGUUUAACGGCCGCGGUAUCCUGACCGUGCAAAGGUAGCAUAAUCAUUUGUUCCUUAAAUAGGGACUUGCAUGAAUGGCUUAACGAGGGUUUAACUGUCUCUUACUUUCAAUCAGUGAAAUUGACCUUUCCGUGAAGAGGCGGAAAUAACUAAAUAAGACGAGAAGACCCUAUGGAGCUUCAAUUAACUAAUCUAGGCACUCUAAUAACCUAUUUCUCCGGAAUACAAAAUCAAGCCUUCAGAUUAUAAAUUUUGGUUGGGGUGACCUCGGAGUAAAAAAUAACCUCCGAAUGAUACUAGUUCAGACUUGACCCGUCCAAACUUCUAUUCAUUAAUUGACCCAAACUUAUUGAUCAACGGAACAAGUUACCCUAGGGAUAACAGCGCAAUUCUACUUAAGAGUCCAUAUCGACAGUAGAGUUUACGACCUCGAUGUUGGAUCAGGACAUCCAAAUGGUGUAACCGCUAUUAAUGGUUCGUUUGUUCAACGAUUAAAGUC
This 546-nucleotide ribosomal RNA is filed under the name Hylopetes phayrei (Indochinese flying squirrel). Its description in RNAcentral is "partial 16S ribosomal RNA". It matches the Rfam family "Bacterial large subunit ribosomal RNA", at positions 1818 to 2595 of the family's 2925-position model. Lineage: Eukaryota; Metazoa; Chordata; Mammalia; Rodentia; Sciuridae. The record is from RNAcentral.